RNAcentral lists this transfer RNA (64 nucleotides) under Dibothriocephalus nihonkaiensis. RNAcentral describes it as "tRNA-Val". The record is from RNAcentral. Lineage: Eukaryota; Metazoa; Platyhelminthes; Cestoda; Diphyllobothriidea; Diphyllobothriidae.
UGCAAUGUAUUUUAUUAAAAAUAUUUACUUUACACGUAAAAGAACCACGUAUGUGGCUUUGUGA